This 557-nucleotide long non-coding RNA is filed under the name Parus major (Great Tit). RNAcentral describes it as "lncRNA (ENSPMJG00000000729.1)". Lineage: Eukaryota; Metazoa; Chordata; Aves; Passeriformes; Paridae. The record is from RNAcentral.
ACCCCCUCGUAUUCCGUCUCUCCUGUGCGUUUCUGCAGGAAUGCUGUGCAGGGUUUUGCGUUGGCUGCAGUUGGCUGUGUCCUCCAUCACCCAGCUGCUCCUUCACACCACUGAGCAUCCCAGGGAAUCACCCAGCACAGCCUGAACUGCAGGCUGGGAGAGAGAGAGAGAGCGAAAUGAAACCCCAUGGUGAUCCAAAAGAGUGUGUGGGGCUGUUCCUGGACAUCAAACACUCCAUAUUAUGCCUGCAUGUAGGUGAAGUGAUGUUGGUCAUGGGACAGAAUGACAGAUUCCCUUCUCCCUCUGACCAGUAAAGUGGAAUUUUAAAAACUGUUAUUACAAAGCUGCUGUUUGAAGAGGAGAAUGACUGGUUCUGGAGGACUUCUCUUCCAGAGCAACAAGGACUUCUUUCCUUUGCCUUUUUUCCAUGAUGACAUCCUGAAGCUACAUAGCUGUAAGGAAGGUAAAAUUAAGCUGGGAAAGCAUCUUUCUUAUUAAAUGUGUUCACAUAUAUACUCAUGUAUGUGUAUGCAAUUUGAAAAGUAAAAGCAAAUGAC